CACGUAGGGCGCAAGCGUUGUCCGGAAUUAUUGGGCGUAGAGAGCUCGUAGGCGGACUGUCACGUCUGCUGUGAAAAGCUGGGGCUUAACCCUGGCCUUGCAGUGGAUACGGGCAGACUAGAGGUAGGUAGGGGAGAAUGGAAUUCCCGGUGUAGCGGUGAAAUGCGCAGAUAUCGGGAGGAACACCUAUGGCGAAGGCAGCUCGCUGGGACGUUACUGACGCUGAGACGCGAAAGCGUGGGGAGCAAACAGG
This 253-nucleotide ribosomal RNA is filed under the name uncultured bacterium. RNAcentral's name for it is "partial 16S ribosomal RNA". It matches the Rfam family "Bacterial small subunit ribosomal RNA", at positions 524 to 776 of the family's 1533-position model. The record is from RNAcentral.